AUACGGAGGGUGCAAGCGUUAAUCGGAAUUACUGGGCGUAAAGGGUUCGUAGGCGGUUAUUUAAGUCAGAUGGGAAAGCCCCGGGCUCAACCUGGGAAUUGCAUCUGAUACUGGGUAACUAGAGUUUAAGAGAGGAGUGUGGAAUUUCCGGUGUAGCGGUGAAAUGCAUAGAGAUCGGAAGGAACAUCAGUGGCGAAGGCGGCACUCUGGCUUAAAACUGACGCUGAGGAACGAAAGCGUGGGUAGCAAACAGGAUUAGAAACCCUAGUAGUCC
This 274-nucleotide ribosomal RNA is filed under the name uncultured bacterium. RNAcentral's name for it is "partial 16S ribosomal RNA". It matches the Rfam family "Bacterial small subunit ribosomal RNA", at positions 523 to 796 of the family's 1533-position model. The record is from RNAcentral.